RNAcentral lists this ribosomal RNA (1218 nucleotides) under Streptomyces sp. NNPR61. RNAcentral describes it as "bacterial SSU rRNA". It matches the Rfam family "Bacterial small subunit ribosomal RNA", at positions 146 to 1368 of the family's 1533-position model. Lineage: Bacteria; Bacillati; Actinomycetota; Actinomycetes; Kitasatosporales; Streptomycetaceae. The record is from RNAcentral.
AGCCCUGGAAACGGGGUCUAAUACCGGAUAACACUGCGGAUCGCAUGGUCUGCGGUUAAAAGCUCCGGCGGUGAAGGAUGAGCCCGCGGCCUAUCAGCUUGUUGGUGAGGUAAUGGCUCACCAAGGCGACGACGGGUAGCCGGCCUGAGAGGGCGACCGGCCACACUGGGACUGAGACACGGCCCAGACUCCUACGGGAGGCAGCAGUGGGGAAUAUUGCACAAUGGGCGAAAGCCUGAUGCAGCGACGCCGCGUGAGGGAUGACGGCCUUCGGGUUGUAAACCUCUUUCAGCAGGGAAGAAGCGAAAGUGACGGUACCUGCAGAAGAAGCGCCGGCUAACUACGUGCCAGCAGCCGCGGUAAUACGUAGGGCGCAAGCGUUGUCCGGAAUUAUUGGGCGUAAAGAGCUCGUAGGCGGCUUGUCACGUCGAUUGUGAAAGCCCGAGGCUUAACCUCGGGUCUGCAGUCGAUACGGGCUAGCUAGAGUGUGGUAGGGGAGAUCGGAAUUCCUGGUGUAGCGGUGAAAUGCGCAGAUAUCAGGAGGAACACCGGUGGCGAAGGCGGAUCUCUGGGCCAUUACUGACGCUGAGGAGCGAAAGCGUGGGGAGCGAACAGGAUUAGAUACCCUGGUAGUCCACGCCGUAAACGGUGGGCACUAGGUGUUGGCGACAUUCCACGUCGUCGGUGCCGCAGCUAACGCAUUAAGUGCCCCGCCUGGGGAGUACGGCCGCAAGGCUAAAACUCAAAGGAAUUGACGGGGGCCCGCACAAGCAGCGGAGCAUGUGGCUUAAUUCGACGCAACGCGAAGAACCUUACCAAGGCUUGACAUACACCGGAAAGCAUCAGAGAUGGUGCCCCCCUUGUGGUCGGUGUACAGGUGGUGCAUGGCUUUGUCGUCAGCUCGUGUCGUGAGAUGUUGGGUUAAGUCCCGCAACGAGCGCAACCCUUGUUCUGUGUUGCCAGCAUGCCCUUCGGGGUGAUGGGGACUCACAGGAGACUGCCGGGGUCAACUCGGAGGAAGGUGGGGACGACGUCAAGUCAUCAUGCCCCUUAUGUCUUGGGCUGCACACGUGCUACAAUGGCAGGUACAAUGAGCUGCGAAACCGUGAGGUAGAGCGAAUCUCAAAAAGCCUGUCUCAGUUCGGAUUGGGGUCUGCAACUCGACCCCAUGAAGUCGGAGUUGCUAGUAAUCGCAGAUCAGCAUUGCUGCGGUGAAUA